AUGGAACAAUCGCUGCCAACGACCGUGUCUACGUGCACCUCCGACACGGCGAUGGGCAAGCACGUGUUCAAGAUCGUCGGCUACCAUCUGCACAAGGGUUUGGGCGUCGGCAAGUACAUACGGUCCGCCACCUUCGCCGUCGGCGGCUACGACUGGUGCGUCCGUUACUACCCCGAUGGAUACUCAUCCCCCGAGUGCAAUGGCUACAUCUCUGUCUACCUCGAGCUCCUGUCCAGGAACGCCGAGGUCAGGGCGAACUACACAUUCAGUCUAAUCGACUCGGGCGGCGGCUGCGCGCAGCCAUGGUCGCCGUUCAUCCGCCGCUUCGCUCACAACUACACCUCCGUCGAUGUUAGCUAUGGAGCUGACAUGUUCAUCGAACAGACUGCGCUCGAAUUGGUGCCGUACCUGCGUGACGACACCGUGGUGAUUGAGUGUGAGGUCAAGGUUAUCAGGUGGCCGCGGGUGCAGGAGGAGACCGUGUUGGCCGCCACACAUAUCGAGGUGCCACCGUCGGACCUGUCGAUUCACCUCGGGAAGUUGCUGGACGGGAAGAGAGGAGCAGAUGUGACUUUUGAGGUUAAAGGCGAGGUUUUCCCUGCACACAAGAUUAUGCUUGCCACGUGGUCGCCGGUCUUCGAUGCUCAAGUCUAUGGACCCAUGAGCGAUGCCAAUGCCACGAGUAAGAACAUAAUCGUCGAAGACAUGGAGCCCCCUGUUUUCAGGGCCUUGCUUCACUUCAUCUACACGGAUUCGCUGCCAGCUAUGGAUGACCUUGAUGAUGGUGAGAACCAAGACAUGGUUAAACACUUGAUGGUGGCUGCCGACAGGUAUGCCAUGGACAGGAUGAAGAUGAUAUGUGAAGGUAUUCUCUGCAAGAGCCUUGAAGUUGAGACCGUGGCGAUGACAUUGGCGCUAGCUGAUCAGCAUCACUGCAGCAAGCUGAAAGAUGCCUGUGUUGAAUUCAUUCUCUCUUCAAACAGAAUGGAUGAUGUGGUAGCAAGCCAGGGGUAUGCACACCUCAAAAGAUCUUGUCCUGCUCUCAUGUUUGAUGUCUUUGAGAAGGCUACCAAGUCUCGCAAAAUUUAA
This 1089-nucleotide ribosomal RNA is filed under the name Triticum aestivum (bread wheat). RNAcentral's name for it is "partial small subunit ribosomal RNA". Lineage: Eukaryota; Viridiplantae; Streptophyta; Magnoliopsida; Poales; Poaceae. The record is from RNAcentral.